This is a non-coding RNA of Vicugna pacos (alpaca), 7841 nucleotides long. Lineage: Eukaryota; Metazoa; Chordata; Mammalia; Artiodactyla; Camelidae. The record is from RefSeq and is a predicted model, not a curated record.
GGGACCAGCUGUUUGUGUUCUGUGCAGUUAGAUUUGUUCCGAUGUGUGUAUUUCUCUGGGUUGCAGGCGUCCAGCUGAGUGAGCAGGCAUCUGUGUGUGCUUGUUCGCAGGUGAGGGCGCCGGAGCGGGGACGGCAGGUGUGGGCAGAGCCGGCUGCAGGCCGCCGCGCGCAGAUCGGGCUCUGCGGGCAUCCCAUGCGAUGUUUUACCUCCGCGUGUUUCUCUCUCUGAGAAGUGUUUGGAGAGCCAUUGUCUCUUCCUCCUUCAGUAGUCCUGCCUUCUCAAGAGCCCCAGACCACAAAAGUGAGGAGAUUUGAUUUGAGCCCCUGCUCCACCAGCCGCCUCCACUCCAGGUGCAUUCUCUUGCUAAUUUUUGCGGGGCCCUAGGAAGUAGGUAGUAAUCAUCUCAUUUGCAGAUGAGAAAACUGAGCUCACUAGUUUAAGAAUUCCUGACGCAAUCAGAUCUUUUCAGAUGGUGCUUGGCAGUGAAAAUUUUAUGUUGUGGAGAAGUUAGAAGAGUAAAACAGGGAUUUUGUUUCAUAAAUUUAGCCCGAUUCCUAGGUUCUCCAGCUGUGAAAUACACAGAUGAGAACAGGGCAACAGCGAAGCAUGGGGAUCAUGAGAUGACAGCCCUCAAUAACUAAGGAAGGUUGGGACCUGGCACUUGUCCACUGGUCUGGCUUCUUGGGCAGCCCCUCCCUGCUGCUUCCAAUAGUGCUGUGGUCACUGGUGGUGUGUGGUCCCUUUGCUACCAUCCCAAGGAGGGAGCGAAAGGCUGGCAGGAGCCUUGUGGACCCCUGCUGGGAAAGGCUAGAGCUAUGGCACUUUGCACGUGCCGCCCCCUACUGGAGAGCUUGCAGCAGUGCAAGUCAGCUUACCCAUUUCAAAGCAGUUGAGUUUGGAAAAGACACCUUCACAAAUCUUCAUUCAUUUACAUUGUCAGCGUAUACCAGCAUUUCAUCAUGAUGACAUCUGACAAACUAAGUUCGCUUGGGGUUGAAAUGUAACAAUUUCUAAUUGGCUAAUCUUGCUAUGAAAUAAAAUCACAUUUUAUUUUGCAUGGAGAACUAAUGAUGCAAGAUUUAAAAAAAAAAUCAGUGAAAGGGUGAUAAAGAUGUUUCAUGGUGACAUAAUCCUGUGAAAGCCAGCCAGUCUCUCCCACCUCUGACCCUCCUGAAACUUCGGGAUUAAAUGGAGGAAAUGCAAUAAUGUUGUGCUGUUACUUCAUUUCAGGGGUUAGUGGUGAGGUGUGGAUCAUAGCGUUAUUUCUUAAGGACUAGUGAGUAUGUAGUAUUUUCCCUAAAGCAAUGUGAAGUCAAAUUAUUUACUUUUUAAAAGAAUCUGUAUUUAUAAAGGAAAACAAACAAGCAAACAUAACUGGGGUCUUAGAGGGUUGGGGGUAAGAGAAAGUAAUAAAUUCUAAAAUAAUUUUACAUAUUUUAAAGCUACUCUUUAAAAAACUGAGCCCAAAUUUCUCCCCGCCUCCCUGCUCUCACGCCCUUGAUGAUGUGGUUGUGAUGCAACUGCUGUCUUCGGGGCAGCUUCCUGGGCUUGGCUCAGUGCUCUGCUGUCACCUUUUGAAAUUCUUAAUAAUCUUUGAACAGGGGCCCCACAAGUCCACUUGGCACCAGGCCCCACCCUGGCUGUUGUGAACAAGGAACGCCGCAGCAGCUCCGCAGUGGUGCUGGGGUCCUGGUCUCUGUCCUGUCUCUUGCUUUCCCCUUCCCGGUGGCCGGGGUGCCCCAGGCCGGGUGGCUGCUGUGUUCCGUUUAAGCUGCCUACACUUUGGUCACUUCCUUUUCCUUUUCUGAGUGCUUUCAAACUGCUGAGAGGAGAGGAGAGCUGUAUUCAACCCAAGGGCUCAUGUACUCAGUAACACUGAGAGAUGCCUGUUGUGUGCAAGAACUUUGUGAAGGCCGGACUGAGGGAACGCAGGUGGAAAUUGCUCGGUACAAUGAGAUGCGAUCACUGCCGCAGUGAAGGUGCGGGCUGAGUGCCACCGCCCCAAGAGGAAGGUAACCUCAGCGGUUCACCUUCUGGCUCGUGCUUAGCUGUGCUUGGCAACCAGGACUGCUAGAGGAAGACGGCCAGUCUGUGAUCGUGAAAAGAAGAUAAAGAGACGGCACAGACGUGAGUUCUUCACACGUAUUUAGAGCGUGGAAAAACUCAGCUAUUUCACCAAACACACAGGAGAACCCAGGCUUCCCUUGCAAAAUCCCCCCUCAGAGCUUGAAGCAAUUAUGAGGACCUGGGAACAGGUGAAAAAAAAAGGAGACCCAGCCCUAGGAAAGUGCAGGUCUGCCCUGUAGCGGGGAGAGGGAGGCAGGACUGGGCAGGACUGGGCAGGGCUGGGCAGGACUGGGCGGGAAUGUGACUCGGGGAAGUUCGGCUCUUCAUUCUGUACCACCUGCCCACAGCUCUGUGCUACGGCCACCCUCCUCCCACCUCCUGGGGCUGGAGCUGGGGUCAAAGGCAAAAAGGACUUCAUGAAAGUCCGUGGUGUUCAGUGUCCAAUUAAUUAGUGUUGAGGGUGGAUUUAACUUUCAAGGUUUUUUUUUUUUGGCCACAGCCUAAGUUCUUUCUGUUGAACACUCCUGGGAGCCUGUGUUUAUUUCUCAUCUUGGCCAAGCUUUCAGGAGCUUUCAUUAUUCCCGCUUCCCACACAGAAACCCCACAGCUCCUCCACGAGCUGCUCUUCCUAGAGACUCCCACCCCGCCCCCUGAAUCAGUCUGGUCUAAGCACAUGCUUUCAGCCGUGAGUUAACAGCGCCGGAGCGCUGGCCUCUGGCUGCUCAGUCCCCGGCAUCAGACCGCGCCUUGCUAGAGUGAAUGUACUCAGUUACAGGGGAUCAUGAAUUACUGAUUUAUUUUGUUCUCCAAACUGCAAAAGCUCCCCGAGGCUGUGGUGAAAUUCUCUAUUGUAGCUGUCAGUAGUUGAACUAUUAAAAAAUUAGUACACACACACACACAGACUUACUUAUACAAGUGUAUACGUACCUUUAAUAUACCACAGUAUGUAAAUAACUAAGUGGCAGUUUUGAAGUGUCAACAGACUGCUGCAAAGUCAGUCUGCUCUUCCUUGUCAAUGAGCUGGAGAAUCCCGAGAAUUCUCCUCACUCCUGUGAUACUUAGUGUCUGCAAGGCCUUUAACUAUAUUCAUUUUUAUUUAAAAGUGUAAUAAUACCAGUAAGGAAAUAUAAGAAUUACUUUCAUACAAAGUAUGAACUAGGCCCCACUGGGCCCAGGGAAAGAAAGCACCUUUAGCACCGGCUCACGGAACCCGUGGUUUCAGCAAGGGCCCGGGAGGAGCUCUCACCAUCACUCAGUCAAGGAGCACGGGGCAUUCACCGCGUGUCCCGCCCUGUGCUGGGCACCAUGGAGUUUCAGGGAAGUGUAACAGCUGCCUGCAAGGGCCCCACCUCUGACUGAAGAGGUGUCCGCUGGCGGGGAUGCACACAGGUGUGCACCGGCAAAACACGGCCACUUCUUGUUCUCAGCAUCGCCAUUGUCCAUGUUCAUAGUCCAUUUUGAAUUAAUUAACUAAACUAGCCAAGAAAGACAGACUAGGGCCAUACCGAAUGAAGUUACUGGUCUUAUGAUCUUGCCUCCCACCGCCUUUCCUGCACUGUCCAUCUCGCCCCUUCCUUUAGCUCAUGCCCGUCAGCACAGAAGCACGCCCUGGGCUUGGUCCCGGCUUUCUGCUUACUCUUCUAACUCAUCUCAUCACAAGUCACUAAAUACCACCUGUAUGAUCACAAGUCUAGACUCUCUAUCUCCCUCUCAGCCUGUUCCUAGGAGCUCCAGACUCACAGUCAGCUGGCACCUCUGACACUGCCUCAGGAGUGUCUUGCAGGCACCUCGAACUUAAGUCCUAAACUUAACUUCAGAAUUUCCACCAAGUCUCACCCCCACCCCACUUCCCCAUCACAAGAAAUGACAUAUGUCCAUCCACCUAGUUAUCCUGUCACACUGGAGUCAUUUUAAAUUCUUUACUCCUCACAUAAAACCAUAAGCAAAUCCUUUUAUGUCUGUUUCCAAAGCACAUCUUAAACCCGUCUGCCUCUCUCCACCGCGCUACUUGACGUUACCACCCACCUGGUCUAUUGCACUCAUUUCUUCUGCGUCCACUCUUGCUCUCCUUCAGUCUAUGCUCCACAUAGUAGCCAGAGUCAUCUUAAAAAGCAUAAAUCAUAUACAUCAGUUCCUUCCUUAAAACCCUUUAAUGGCUUCCCAGUAUAAUUUGUAUAAAAUCCAGAGUCUUUAACAGGGCCUGCUGGCCCCAGGCAUUCUCCGGUUUCACCUCACGUGCUUCUCCCAUCACUUGCUAGGAUCCAGCGGAACUGUUCACUUCCAGGGUCUCCAACGUGACCCGCUCCUCCCGCUGCGGGACCCUCACACACUCUGGUUUCCUGCACUGCAUGCUCUCCACUCUGGCCCUCCUGGUGGCUGACUCCUUCACACCUUUCAGCUCUCAGCGUCUUUGUUACCUCCCCAGAAAGGCCUUUUCUCAUCACCCCAUCAAAGCACCCACCCAUCCCCAACAGACACACACACACACACACCUCAUCAUUAUGUAGCAAAAUGUCUUGUUUAUGUCAUUAUUUAUAGCAAUUAUUUAUCCUCUCACCCACUCCAUGAAGGCAGGAACCAGUUUCCUGGCUCACUGCUUGUUCAUCUAGCGUUGCACCUGCAUCCUGAGAGGGCUCAGUAAGUAUCUGGUAAAUGAAUGAGAGAAAGGAAGGAUCUGUGUGAGCUUGGGUGGCCAGGAAAGAUUCUGUGGUGGUUGCGGUACAUGAGGCGGUCCUUCUAAUUAAGCUGGGGGUCGGGACACCGUCGGAACGACACACAUGAGGGAAUGAGCAUGGGAAUGAGCAAGUGAAGACAGUCAGGCCAGCUGACAUUGAAGGGAACAGCUUAACCAAAAUAGAUCAUUUGAGUCACAGAAUGUGAAACUUGAAAAGAGAGAAAAAGAAGAAUGGCUCCCAAAACCAAGGAAAGAAAUUUCAUUUUGAAAUGGGAAGCCACUGUUUGGUCUUGAUCAGGGGAAUUGCAUGAUAAAUAUUUUAUAAAAUGAGUCUGGCAGGGGCGUGCAGAGUAAAUGGAAGGAAGCAGCCCCAAAGCGGGAAGAGCUGAGUAGCGGCUUGCACACGCUGUCCAGGGUGGAGGAGGUGAGGCUGCUGGCAGGCACGAUGGAGAGUGAGGGGUGGAGCCAAGAGAGCUGUGAUGGAAGAGACCCUAAGACAUCAUUUAGGUACUUGAGGGGAGGAGCGGGAGGGGUCAAAACUGAUGUUGAGAUUCUGAGACUGAGAAACUGGAAGCAAGCCAGAAUCAUGGUGCUGGAAAGGACCAACCGACGGGUCUACCGUGUUCCUGACAGGUAUGUGAAUGUCAUCUGUUCUAAUACUUAGAAAAUUCUGCCACACAAAGAAUCAGGCUUCUUUUAGCUUUUUGUCUAUCCCAGUUCUGCCCCUGGGGGUAAAUACAGAAUAGAGACAGUCCUUAUUUCAGAUGCCAGUCUUUCAAAUAGUUGAAAACAAGGUCUUCUGUCCUUCUUAAUUUUGUUUUUCCCAGGCUAGUCCCCUUGGCCAUCAGUCAAGUCCCAUGAGACCUGAUUUUGAGUUCCCUAACCGCUCUCACAGUUUUUUUUUAAUAUUUAAUAUAUUUUAUAUUUUAUUUAAUCUUUAAUACAUAUUAAGCAAAAGCAGUAAUCAAGUUGACUUACAGUUAUUCUUCUUGCAGGUCCUUUUUCCUAAAUAUAAAAGAGAUGUUUGGGCUAUUUGGUCUCUAAAUUUGCUUUUUUUUUAAAUUUAUUUUUAUUUUUUAAUUGAAGUAUAGUCGAUUUACAAUGUUGUGUUAGAUUCUUUUGUGCAGCUCAGUGAUUCAGCUAUAAAUAUAUAUUCCUUUUCAUAUUCUUUUUCAAUAUAGGUUAUUACAGUACAUGGAAUAUAGUUCCCUGUGCUGCACAGCAUGACUUUGUUGUUCGUCCGUUUUAUACAGAGACAGCUCUCACAGUUUUAUCCUGCUUUAUUAUAGUUUAUAAACUCCUUGAAAGCACAAUACCCAGAACCCAAGAGAACGUUUGGUGCCCGAGUGCUGUCUGAUCAGCACAGAGCUCAGUGAGACUGUCACUUCCUUUUAUUUGAACGUAGUUCUACUAAUAGGUGAAAGUUUGUUUUUAAAGAAUUCUUUUCUGCUAUGGGGUCACUUUGGAAUUUCAGGAAAUGGAAACCCCAAGAUCUUUUUCAUGUAAAAUAAGUCAUUGCCCCAAUCCUAUAUAAUUCUUGCUUAUUUUUUAUCCUGAAUUCCAAAUUUUAUGGUUAUUCCUCUUUAAUUUCAAUAUUAAUUUUAAUCUAUUAUUCCAGAAUCUUAAAGUCCUUAAAAACUGGUUCUAACAUUCUUGGUUCUCUCUAAUUUUUGUAUCAAAAGCAAAGCUGUUAAGAUUUUCAUCCAAGUGACAAAAGGGCCAGUAUAAAAUCCUGAAUUACUCUUUUUUUUUUAAAACCUAUUUCUUUGUACUGUGGUAAAAAAAAUACCAUUUUAAUCAUUUUUAAGUGUAUAGUUCUGUGGCAAUAAGUACAUCAUUGUGAUUCAACCAUCACUACCAUCCAUCCCCGGGACUCUUUUCAUCUUGAAAAACUGAAACUCUGUACCCAAUAAAUAAUAACUCCCCAUUUCUCCCUCCCCAGCCAGCCUCUGGCCACCACCAUUCGACUCCAUCUCUAUGAAUAUGACUACUCUGGGUACCUCAUAUAAGUGGAAUUAUCAUAUAGUACUUGUCCCUUUGUGACUGGCUUAUUUUACUUAGCAUAAUUUCUUCAAAGUUCAUCCAUGUUGUAGCAUGUGUGAGAAUUUCCUUCCUUUUCAGGGCUGAGUAAUAGUUCUUUGUGUGUAUAUAUCCAAUUUUUAAAAAUCCGUUCCUCUCUCAAAGGACACUUGAGUUACUUCUACCUUUUGGCUGUUGUAAAUAUUGCUGCUAUAAACAUGGGUAUACAAAAUGAUGAUCUCCAGGUCCAUCCAUGUUGCUGAAAAUGACAUUAUUUUAUCCUUUUUUAUGGCUGAGUAGUUAGUAUUCCACCAUGCAUAUACACCACAGCUUCUUCAUCCAGGCGUCUGUUGGUGGACGUUUAGGCUGUCUCCACGUCUGGGCUGUUGUAACAGUGCUGCUGUGACCACUGGGGUGCAGGUGUCUUUUUGAAUUAGUUUCCUUUGGAUAUACACCCAGGAGUGGGAUUGCUGGAUCAUAUGUGCCUACAAAGCUAGGAGCUAUGGAUACAGCAGUGAACUGCUCAGGAGAGGUCCCGCCCUGCCCUCACCAAGCUCGUAGUCUAUUAACUGAAGAAGUCAGACACUGAACAGCGAUUACAAGCACAACUCUGGCAUGAAAGAAGGAAAGGCAGCUGCUGACAUGUGAGACUGAGAAACAGCAACUAACCAAACGGAUUUUACCUCAUUUCUUGGGACUCUCUGACUUACUGGUCUUCUAACCCUCUCCCACCAAAAAAGAAAUAGGUCACUCAACUGCCCAUUCUUAACGGCCAUCACUGCUUUCUUCCCUAAGUGUGCGCAGACUUGUACUUGUUCAGAGUCCACUCUGGCUCUGCUGGAGGCCAACGGGCUCGUGGUCUGCAGAUUCUGGAGUCUAACAUUUCAUGGGUUUUAAACAACAAGGACCACAUUUGCCUUUGUAUGUUGGCUCUCUGAGCCUAAAAAUUUGAUAGCAUCUUAAUUUCUCAGAGAUAAUUCUCUGAAGUGACACUGGUAACUUCCUUAUGUACCUUGGGGUAUUACUCGCUGGAUAUGAAGAGCUGAAGUCAUUAAAAGCAACCAGGUGUUAUGUGCUCA